This 406-nucleotide ribosomal RNA is filed under the name uncultured bacterium. RNAcentral's name for it is "partial 16S ribosomal RNA". It matches the Rfam family "Bacterial small subunit ribosomal RNA", at positions 30 to 526 of the family's 1533-position model. The record is from RNAcentral.
AUUGAACGCUGGCGGCAGGCCUAACACAUGCAAGUCGAACGAGCGGCGGCCGGGUGAGUAAUGUCUGGGAAACUGCCUGAUGGAGGGGGAUAACUACUGGAAACGGUAGCUAAUACCGCAUACCAUCAGAUGUGCCCAGAUGUGAUUAGCUAGUAGGUGGGGUAACGGCUCACCUAGGCGACGAUCCCUACCUGGUCUGAGAGGAUGAACAGCCACACUGGAACGGAGACACGGUCCAGACUCCUACGGGAGGAAGCAGUGGGGAAUAUUGCACAAUGGGCGCAAGCCUGAGGCAGCCAUGCCGCGUGUGUGAAGAAGGCCUUCGGGUUGUAAAGUACUUUCAGCGAGGAGGCGUUACCCGCAGAAGAAGCACCGGCUAACUCCGUGCCAGCAGCCGCGGUAAUAC